AGAGUUGGCAAUAUGACUACUCAGAAAGAGAACUUGUGUUUGAUUUCUGAAAUGCAAUUUGCGAGAUAGUUUGAUACUAAAAUAUUCAAAUAGUCUCCUUUCGACUCGAUGCUACUAAAUGAGAUUCAUUUAAUAGAACCCAGAGCUCUCCCAUCCAAUCUCGUCCUCGUGUAUCGUCCGCUUGGGUUUACCUUAGACCGCCUACUCAAAAUUCUAAUUAUGGUGGGUUAGAAAGGGAAAAAAUAAUAUUUGACAAAAAAAACAUCAUUGUACAAUAAAGAAGAACACUUUUUUUUUUGUCAAGUAGUCUAGUGGCUAGAGCUCACACAAUUUAAUUGUGAAGAAGUGGGGUGUCCGGGGUUCGAACCCCGGUCCUUGCAUAUAAUAUGCAAUAUCCCUACCAACUGAGCGAAGCUCAUGGGGAUAAUAAAGAACACAUUAAUAACUUGC
This 450-nucleotide long non-coding RNA is filed under the name Medicago truncatula (barrel medic). RNAcentral's name for it is "long non-coding RNA (MTRU_LNC001663)". Lineage: Eukaryota; Viridiplantae; Streptophyta; Magnoliopsida; Fabales; Fabaceae. The record is from RNAcentral.